Saccostrea cuccullata (small rock oyster) is the source of this 278-nucleotide long non-coding RNA. RefSeq lists it as uncharacterized. The transcript is spliced from 4 exons. The record is from RefSeq and is a predicted model, not a curated record. NCBI's taxonomy places the organism in Eukaryota, Metazoa, Mollusca, Bivalvia, Ostreida, Ostreidae.
GUAUACAAAAAUGUUGUCUGUGGUAAUGACAACUAGAAAUGGUGAAGUUUGGGAGUCAUUUGUAAAAAUGUUGCCUGUGGUAAUGACAACUAGAAAUGGUGAAGUUUGGGAGUCAUUUUAACAAAUGUUGUCUGUGGUGAUGACAACUAGAAAUGGUAAAGUUUGUGGGUCAGUAUACAAAGAUGUUGUCUGUGGUAAUGACAACUAGAAAUGGUGAAGCAUUGUAAACAUAUUGAAUUAAGUACCUUUUUGUUAGGCUCUCUCUUCUAACUGAAAAU